Molecule: long non-coding RNA, 3475 nt
Filed under: Marmota monax (woodchuck)
Lineage: Eukaryota; Metazoa; Chordata; Mammalia; Rodentia; Sciuridae
Source: RNAcentral
CAUUUUCCCAUCUUCAGUUUUUGAAAACCUUUUAAGACCACCAGCAUUUCCGUCAAGUAGGAUUGGAGAGACAGACAAAUGGGUAGAGAGGUUUACAUAGUUUGGGGUGUGGGUGUGGGUGUAAGACAAUGGGAGCAGGGACACCAUCCUUCCACCUUGGUGUUCUAAUCAUUCUACCCACUAAGUAACCUUUACCAUUGUUUAACAACAUUACAGAUAGAAGAGAGAAAUAUCUCAAACUCUAGUUCUGGAAGAUUUCUGAUUAGACUAGACCAAUGAAUGGACUCUGUACAGUCAUUCAUACUCUUAGAUAAUAAAAAUAAUAAUAGCCAACACUUAUGGAGUCGCUGCUGUAUUAAGGCAGUGAACCAGAGGUCUUACAUAUAUUAUGUAUAACCUGUACAGCAACUCGUGAGGAAGGUGGUGUCAUUCAUCUCUGAUGAAAAAACAAACUCACAGAGACCAUUAAGGUCAUGCAGUGCCAAGUGACAUACUAAGUUUGAACCCAGAUCCUCACUGUAAAGCCUAUGUACCUUUUACUUUAGAGGCUUGAUCAUGAAACUGUCACUGCCCUUCUGUCUCAGAGGGUUGGAAGGCGUAAUCAUCUAUGUACAGUAUCGUCCACACUAAAGAAGCCCUUACACACUCUGAGCAGCAAUUUUUAGUGUUAAAGGCAAUUUUCGUUCCCAUGCUUAGCAAAGAAGAGAAAAGCUGGAGAUCGUAGAUCCCAUUUCAAAGAUGAGGCCUACAAGACUUCUGAACCUUAGCAGUUGAAAAUGUGCAGUAAUACAGCCUGGUUGAAAGUGUCUGCUGAUGUUCUUGGAUAUUGGGUUGGGCACAGCCUAUACCAGCUUACCUCACAUUCACUAUAAUUAGCAAUCCAGGGAUAUAGAUCCAAGCAUUUGUAGAUGAUGGGUGGAAUUCUACCCAAGUUAAAAAGUCACAGGACUGUCACUUCACAUUCUCUGAACUUAGUCAUGAGGAGAGGGUGAGGCCCGCUUUUCCCACUGGGAAUGCCAGAGAGUCUGCAGCAAUAUAUAGCAAAGGCUCCAGGGGAUGAAAAGCCAGUAAGUAUGGACACGAAUGGAAAAGGCAAGGCCUAUGUUCUAAUGGUACAUAUGUGAUAGGUAAUAUUUAACCUGUCAUUAAAACCCACGAUCUUAGAUUGGGGACCUCAAUUUUAUUAGUCAAGGUGUCUUUACUCUUAAGUGAACCAUGAGUCAGAAGGGCCUAGCUCCCAUAGGUCACUUGAGGUGAGGAUGGGUGACUUGUAUCCUUCCCCAUGUGGGUUCAUGUCCAAAUUCCAUGAAGUCAAUGUUGUGAAAGUUCAAGGGAAGUAAGGCUCUGCCUUCUUAGAAUGCAUUUAUGGAAAUAUGGGUGUACGUGUGUGUAAAAGAUCAAUAGUAGGUUGGAAUUACAAUCCCUGGGUUUAAGUAUUGGGGAAAUCAGUGAAGGCCAGAAAUAGUUUCCAGGAGGAAACAGGAGUUGUGUCAUAGAGGUUGGCUGAGUACAAAUAGGAAGAAAUCAUAAAGAAGGAAACCGAAGAGUUGGCUGCUAGAAAAAAACUUGGGCAGUAAUAAACAUUGGGGCCCUGGCUGCCAGCAGAGGCAUGUUUGGCUUUAUUUCGUUGGUAAUAUGGGUAUAGAUACAUAGUUACCCAAUAAAUGUUGUUUGUUUCAUUCAAGCUUUUCCUAAUUUAAAUGGUUUCUUCUGCCUACCAGCAUUUUCAACUAAUAAUAUAUCUGCUUGCUUUGUAAAGCUCUUAGAUUUAUGCGAAUGAUCCAUUUGCUUAAUAAAAGUGUGAAUAAAAUUUCUUUAUGGGGGAAUAACUGAUCGUGAACUUUCUGGAUAUAAAAUAAGUGACCCUUUUCCAAGUGUUUUUAUCGUCAGCAGAUGUGACAGAGUGGACAUCUGCAGAAGUGUCAGAAACCAGCAGAGCUUGGUUUAAGCUCUGCUCAGUGGCCUCUGGAGGAAUAUUUAUGUAUAAGAGGCAGAUUUGAAAUGGCAGCAGGUCUGGGAAAGGUACAAGCUUUAACUUGGAGGACAUAGCAGGCUAUCUAUAUUUCAGUCAGCUCACAGAAGCAGGAAAUCUUUACCAAGUGCAUUUCUCAGCACUGUGCUAAGAGCUGGGUAUUAGUUUCUCCUUCAAGAAACUUCUAAGUGCCUGAAGAGAGAAGCAUGAAGAAACCCCUUAGAAAAAGACAAAGGGAAAAUGAGUACUUAGCCAUGUAACAAAAGCAAACACUCAUGGGAUCUAAAUGUUAAGCAUUGCAUUGUGUUUACCUGAAAUGGAUAAGUCAAAUUGAAUAAGGUACUGGCAAUGGGCCAUUGGUCCAUUGUUCUAGGUGUGUGUUUUAUGAUACUGAUAAGAGAAAACAACUACACUGCAGAAGUAUAUGUUUUAAGGAUCCACAAUCCAAAAGAGAUUUUUGUUCUUUAGAUUUUAUUCCCUUGGUUCUUAGAUCUCUAUGUGGGUAGAAUAUCUGGGAAAAUCAAUUGAUAUAACUAUAUAGAGUUAUAGUUAUGAUGUGCAUUAAAUUUAGCUCCAAGCCUGUAAUUCUACAGCCUCCAGGAAAGUCCUCUCUGCAGGGAGAGAUUGUUUUCCUGAGUCCAUCAAAGAAUCGCAUGCAUGAGAGCUGAUAAAUUUUUCUUACAUUAAAAAGGUUAUUUGAGAAAGGCUUGCAAAAUUAGCACAAACCUGAUGGCCAAGCAUUGAAUAACAUUAGUUUUAAGAUAAUCAGGUACAAGGGAAGUGAGAGUUUUAAUAAAAGUGGAAAGCCAUAGCCCUGACAUUGCUGUUAUUUUGGGCUGCUAUGGAUGAAAGCCCAAUGGAUGACUCAUUGUGACCACUGGUCAGAUAGGGAGAGAACAAGUAUUUCAGGGUGACAUAUCUGAAAAGUGGCUUGAAAUGACUUUUGCUUCUGAAUCCCCAGCUUCUCACUGGGUACCCAAGCAUCGUCUCUCUCUAUAAAGGAAUAAAACAAAGAUGUAGGAAGAGAAAGACCUCCACCAGAAUGGGGAAGGGAUUGGUGAAGAGGAAGGGGAGGGAGUAGAAUCUAGACUUGAUUUCAGUUGAUGUGUGUGUGUGUGUGUGUGUGUGUGUGUGUGUGUGUAUGAUACCAAUGUGGUGUUUAGUGCAGGGCAUUUUUUUUUUAAAGGAAUAAUUUGGCCUCCCGCCUCAUCUCACCCUCCACCUCAAGCCUCAGACCUAAGAAUGAACCCUCUGAAUAUUGGACAGUUAAAAAGGGAAAAGUGGUAAAAAAAAAAAAAAAAAAAACUUCAAUAGAACUCAGGACAACAGAUAAAAACCAAGCAAAAAGAUAAUUUGACUAUUUGAUGAAAUGUGUAUGGGGUGUGAAAAACCUGUCUGCUUUGUAAUUCAUGACAAAAUAUAUAUCUCAAGUCAAUCUAUUUUUAGCACAUAGGAAAUAAAAGAUGCAAGAAUGGCUAACAAUAAAGUUCUCUUCUCAGCAAG